GCUUGUCUCAAAGAUUAAGCCAUGCAUGUCUAAGUAUAAGCACUUAUACCGUGAAACUGCGAAUGGCUCAUUAUAUCAGUUAUAGUUUAUUUGAUAGUCCCUACUACUUGGAUAACCGUAGUAAUUCUAGAGCUAAUACAUGCGUUAAGUCCUGUCAAAAGGAUGCACUUAUUAGAUACAACCAACCCUUCGGGUCACUGGUGAAUCAUAGUAAUUGAGCGAACCGAAUGCGAAAGCGUCGGUGGUUCAUUCAAGUUUCUGCCCUAUCAGCUUUCGAUGGUAGGGUAUUGGCCUACCAUGGCGUUAACGGGUAACGGAGAAUUAGGGUUCGAUUCCGGAGAGGGAGCCUGAGAGAUGGCUACCACAUCCAAGGAAGGCAGCAGG
RNAcentral lists this ribosomal RNA (384 nucleotides) under uncultured Bicosoecida. RNAcentral describes it as "partial small subunit ribosomal RNA". It matches the Rfam family "Eukaryotic small subunit ribosomal RNA", at positions 30 to 432 of the family's 1831-position model. Lineage: Eukaryota; Bigyra; Bicosoecida. The record is from RNAcentral.